CACACGAAAAAUGCUUUUGAAUUUUAUCUAAUUUAUACCGUUAACCAUUGCUUUUUGGAAAUAUAUUUAUAACAAGAGGAUAUUAAAGGUGAUUAUCGUUCGGAUACUACCAAUCUUAUUAUACAUGGACAUAUAUUUACUGUGAUAAAAGGUUUUAUGUCUAGUCAACAAAGGAAUAAGGUCAACACGGACAGGACGCGUGGGCAAGUUCUUUGUCUACACGCUAAAUUAAAGAUGGCUACAACGAAAAUAUUGCUGUAUGGACAUUAUUUCGUCGCAAAUUUGAAAUCUUUUAAACAAAGUGUGGCGUCAGACCGCUCAUUAGAAAUUGUUAACGAUUUUAAACCAGACAUUGUAUUGCUAAUGGUGGAAACUUGUGACCUGUAUGACUCUACAGAAUCACCAGAAAAUAUGGUAGACGAAAUCUGCAGUCUGUCAGAGCAGCUGUGUAACAAAUACGGUGUCAAACUUGUCAUAGUCAUUCAAGCUUUACACUGGACACAACCAUCAAUUCCAAUCCAAUAUCCAGUACAUUUUCCCUGGUUCAACGACCGAGUGGACAUAUGCAAUCGACUUCUAUACACUCAGCUUCCCAAAAUUUCUGCAAAACUUUGGAGAUCGAAAGGAUUUUGGUCUGAAUCGAGUCAGCAGACAGUUUUCGCUGCGGAUGGUACACAUCUAUCUCCCCUGGGAAACAGAAAACUGUGCAACAAUAUCAGAGCAGCCAUCAUAUAUGGAGCAAUGAUCUUUGAAUUCAGAUACGUAUUAAGUUCUUACAUUUAUUUUUGUAAUAUAAAUGUAUACAGCAAAUUAUUCAAUAUAUAUAUAUUAAAAGUGCAAAUUAAUUCCUUCAUUAUUCUGUUCAACGAUAUUUAAUCAAACUUAUGUAAUUGUUUGCACCUUCGUGGUCCUCCUAAUUCAUUUCGGGUUCCGGCAUUCAUUUCUUUUUCUGUUUUUUACAAAUUUCACGAUUACAUGUAUUAAUCAUAAUUUAUCUUCCGAAUAUUCAUUGUGCUCUGAUAUAUUUGACAGCCCAUAAGGCUGUUUAUUUCAUAAUUUACGGAUGCACAUUUGGAACUUCUUGUAUUUAAACUUGAGUGAUGUGUAUACGACAAUUUUCAGAUAAACAAAACUAAAUUCAGGGGAAACAAAACUAAAUUCUACUAACCCAACAGAAUGUACAGAGGAUUGAAAAGGUGUAACGCACUGCGGGAAGAUGGGCAUGUAGGAGGUGGCGUAGGAUCAGUCAUGUGGGUGACAUGCCGACAGAACUAGACUUGGAUAGUCUAGAGCAUAGAAGAGAGAUGAAACGAAAGAGAGCCAGUGCACUACCUGAUGGUAGAACAGAAAGCGUAGAAAAAAUGAACGGGGCCAUUCUCUAACAUUGUGGAGGAACAAUUACCUCGCGUAAACACAGUAAGAAGUCAAAAAGACAGAACUAAUGUCGCGAAAAACAGCUCAUACUAGGUCUCCUCCUCCAAGAAGACAAGCUCAGAAAAAAACAAUUAAAACAAAACAAACGCUUUGCAGAAGUACUUGAAGAGUCUUCAGAUGAACACACAGACAGAGAUGAAGACUCAGAGGAUGACUCGUAUUCCUUGGAGUCGGAUACCAGUGAUUCUUCCAGCAAUGGCAAUAUGUUACAGAUCACUUCAAGUCAUUCCAAAAAUAUCAUUAAUGCUAUGCAUAUUUUGCUGAAUGCAGUAUUCGUAAGACUACAAGAACUGGCAGUACAAUAUCCCUACUUCCAGACGCAAAAAUCCUAUCGUUAAACUUGCAACCCUUGACAACAGAGAAAAUUGAAAAUUAAAUACUUAAAAACAAGGACAGAUAUCAAACAAGGAAUGCAAUGCUGAAAUUCAACUCACUAAAUGAAAGUACGAACAUGAAGAAACUGUGAGGAAUAUAAAAAAACGAUUGUGUUUGUGAGAGAGAAUAGAUAUAUAUGUUUCUUAGAAUUUUAAGUAGUCAAUACUUAUUACAAAUGGUUAAUGUGAAUCAAAAUCAAUGCCACAAAACUAUUAAAGUAUCACAUGAUGUAACUGUACCAAAUAUGAAACAUGUGUGCUGUGACUGCAAAUGUUUAGUUGCAAAAUAAAUGCUAUGAAUUCUUGUUAUGAUACUCAGUAUUAAGUUGAAAUGUAUGCCACCAGAUUUGAGAACGACAUGCAGGCACUAAAUGGAAUAUAUACAAUAAGAUUAGUAUGAAAGGUAUGACCGGGACAUAUUAUUUGCGAUGUAAUAUCUUUGAGCCUUAAUUUAAUUGUCAGAAUUAUGUGAAAAGUUAACAAGAGGCCUAAAUGGGCCUAAGUCCUUAAACUGGAGAAAGCCUUAACCAUCUGACUUUGCUUCUAACUAGGUUUGGUGAAAAUCCUUUAACCUGUUCAUUAUUUUUUAUUAUCAUUUUGCUGUCACGCACCAAAGCACAUAACCAUCGAAAGAAAUCAUCUAAAGUUAUUUCUUUUUCAACUCUAGUGGCCCCUAAAAGAGCCAAAGUAUCCCUAUUUGAAUAGAUUUGAUAUAAGACAUAACAUGGUAAAAGACCUUAUAAUGAUGCU
This is a long non-coding RNA of Mercenaria mercenaria, 2558 nucleotides long. RefSeq lists it as uncharacterized. The transcript is spliced from 3 exons. NCBI's taxonomy places the organism in Eukaryota, Metazoa, Mollusca, Bivalvia, Venerida, Veneridae. The record is from RefSeq and is a predicted model, not a curated record.